Molecule: ribosomal RNA, 207 nt
Filed under: uncultured bacterium
Lineage: Bacteria
Description: partial 16S ribosomal RNA
Rfam family: Bacterial small subunit ribosomal RNA
Source: RNAcentral
CGCGUAGGCGGCGAUCCAAGUCAGGGGUGAAAUCCCGGGGCUCAACCCCGGAACUGCCCUUGAAACUAGGUUGCUAGAAUACUGGAGAGGUGAGUGGAAUUCCGAGUGUAGAGGUGAAAUUCGUAGAUAUUCGGAAGAACACCAGUGGCGAAGGCGACUCACUGGACAGUUAUUGACGCUGAGGUGCGAAAGCGUGGGGAGCAAACA